RNAcentral lists this long non-coding RNA (241 nucleotides) under Gossypium raimondii (Peruvian cotton). RNAcentral's name for it is "long non-coding RNA (GRAI_LNC002989)". The record is from RNAcentral. Lineage: Eukaryota; Viridiplantae; Streptophyta; Magnoliopsida; Malvales; Malvaceae.
AGUGCCGGAUGGAAGGUGGCUGGCCUGGCAGAGGUUUUGGGAGUUUUCAAUUAGGGAUUUGAAGUUGAAGGUUAGGUUUUUUUUUUUUCUAUCGUUUGUUCACUGUUGAGUUUAGACUUUUAGACUUAAGUUUUAGUUUUAGUUUUAGAAUUUUAUUUUUAUUUAUUAAAUUAUUUGUAAUUUUUAUGAUUGGGUUGGGUUGGGUAAUUGGGUUGGGUUGGAUACUUGGGUUUGGAUUGGG